GACGAACGCUGGCGGCGUGCUUAACACAUGCAAGUCGAACGGAAAGGCCCUGCUUUUGUGGGGUGCUCGAGUGGCGAACGGGUGAGUAACACGUGAGUAACCUGCCCUUGACUUUGGGAUAACUUCAGGAAACUGGGGCUAAUACCGGAUAGGAGCUCCUGCUGCAUGGUGGGGGUUGGAAAGUUUCGGCGGUUGGGGAUGGACUCGCGGCUUAUCAGCUUGUUGGUGGGGUAGUGGCUUACCAAGGCUUUGACGGGUAGCCGGCCCGCGAGGGUGACCGGCCACAUUGGGACUGAGAUACGGCCCAGACUCCUACGGGAGGCAGCAGUGGGGAAUAUUGCACAAUGGGCGGAAGCCUGAUGCAGCAACGCCGCGUGCGGGAUGACGGCCUUCGGGUUGUAAACCGCUUUCGCCUGUGACGAAGCGUGAGUGACGGUAAUGGGUAAAGAAGCACCGGCUAACUACGUG
This 468-nucleotide ribosomal RNA is filed under the name uncultured bacterium. Its description in RNAcentral is "partial 16S ribosomal RNA". It matches the Rfam family "Bacterial small subunit ribosomal RNA", at positions 28 to 507 of the family's 1533-position model. The record is from RNAcentral.